RNAcentral lists this ribosomal RNA (301 nucleotides) under uncultured bacterium. RNAcentral's name for it is "partial 16S ribosomal RNA". It matches the Rfam family "Bacterial small subunit ribosomal RNA", at positions 509 to 808 of the family's 1533-position model. The record is from RNAcentral.
CAGUCGCCGCGGUAAUACGUAGGUCCCGAGCGUUGUCCGGAUUUAUUGGGCGUAAAGCAAGCGCAGGCGGUUUAGUAAGUCUGGAGUUAAAGGCAUUGGCUCAACCAAUGUAUGCUUUGGAAACUGUUAGACUUGAGUGCAGAAGGGGAGAGUGGAAUUCCAUGUGUAGCGGUGAAAUGCGUAGAUAUAUGGAGGAACACCGGUGGCGAAAGCGGCUCUCUGGUCUGUCACUGACGCUGAGGCUCGAAAGCGUGGGUAGCGAACAGGAUUAGAUACCCCAGUAGUCCCUGUCUCUUAUACA